CUCAGUAAGAUGGUUUCCUUUGAAAGGAGAAUUGUAUGAGUUUUCUGAGAGUGGGCAGGAGAGAUGGUGGCAGAGAAUGAAGAGUUAAUUCAAUGUGUGCCACCCUGCUGACCCUGAAGUUAUGAUAAGUCAUAAAAAGAGAUGACCUGCAGGCAGUUGAAAAAUCCAGAGGUAGAAAUUAUGAGAAAUGUGAGGUAAGGAAUAUAAAUUUAUUGAAAUGAAGUGAUUGAUUGGAUUAAGGAGUAUUAGAUAAUUGGAAAAAAAAUGAAAAUAAAAACAGAGACCGUAGAAUAGAGCUUUGGAGGAAUGGGAGGAAAAAGAAGAUAAUCAAGAGAACCAGAGGAACUUAUUUGUACCAAAAGACCCUUAAAAUGUGAAUGAUCACAUGGAUGUUAUAAAACUAAUACAUUUUAUAUUUUAAAAGCACCUACCAUUUUGAACAAAACACAAUAUUCUGUAAUGAAAAGCACAAAGUAUCAGUAUUAGGAUACUUUGAUUACAUGUAUUAGAAAACCAUACUUAAACCAACUAAAAGAGACAUUUUUUCACAUAACAGAAAGUCCAAAGUUGGGCAGGUUCUUGUGUUGGUUGAUUGGAAUACUCAAAGACUAGAGUAUUAUCAAAGACUAGGAUAUUUUCAUUUUCCACUUUACAUUCUUGGGACUGUCCUUUUGCUUGGGUGUUGGGGCUGUGGCAAGAGACGAAUUUAGGUAUUACAUAGCAACUGUCUCUUCCUGGAGCUCCUUCUAAACAGUAAGAAAAUUUUUCUCUGAACCACCUCCUGCUGGCCAGAACUGGAGCACAUGCUCAUCCUGAACCAAACACCAGCAUGAGGAACGGUGAUGAUAUUAACUGGCUCCAAGACGACUGAUCAUAUGAGGUGGCAUAAUCACUCCCUCAUUGGGCUCCCUAAAAAUCACUCCCUCAGGUGGGCUGAAUAUUAGAGAAUUAUCACAAUGUCCAUUACAAGAAGAAUUUCAGCUGCCAUUUUAAAAUUAACAUGUUAUUUAGAAUAUUACUACCUACAAAUAUUAUACAGUACAAAAUAAGGAUAAAUGGAUAAUCUUUUUUACAAGUUGCUUGACACUGAGUAAUUCACCUACUCUCUUUGGGUUUCAGUUCCCUUUCCCAAAAAAGCAGCAGUUGGAUCAAGUUAACAGUUACUUAACUGUGCUCUGAGAAAUCCAAGAAUUUCCAUGGAGCCCCUUCACAAUUGCUAAUAGAGAAGAAAGAGCCAGCAGAAACUGAAAAUAUAGAGCUGUUAUAAUCUGCCAAGUUUUAUAGGAGAUACUUUAAAAUGCAUGAAUUCUUAUUACAACAAUUGUUAUGAAACAACAGGAAAAUGGGAAGAGGAGAGGUGCAAACCCAGUAUACGGCUCACAGAAGUAAAAACAAAACAUUUCUUAUGUCUUUUUGUCUCAUAUAGUAAUCAAUCUUAAAAGCAUAAUAAAUUAAAAUCAGAGACCUCUAUGUAAUGAUUUUCCACUGAAAAUAUGCUUUUGAUUUUAUAACCCUUUAGCUUUUAAAUAUCCUGAACUUUUAGUACUUUGUCUGUUUUCUAACCAUUUUAUUCAAACCUUUUAGUGCAGCAAAUAAGCAGCACAAGCUUUGAUCUCAUUAAAUUACAACUUACAGUUCCUAGAGUCAUAAAUAUUGUGGGCUUUUUUCCUUUACCCCUCCUUUUCUGGUAUGGGGUAGUCUGUUAAAUAUCACUAUCUCCUUGAGUACUCUGACGUUUACUCAGACAAAUAGCAGAGGUUAUGAAUGCUGUUCACAGAUAGUAUCAGGAAUUCUUCAUGAUUGCCAUAAUGGUGAACCCAACAUUCAGAACUGUAAGAACUAUUUUUAAGGACCUAUCUAACUAAGUUUGGUCUGUUUAACUUUGUUCCACAAAAAAGAGAAUUCCAUCUUACCACAAACCAAUAACCUAACUCUUCUGGACAAAAUCAUAGAAUAGUAUAAAAGAAAAACAAAUUAUCCUUGGGAAAAUUAAUGAUUCUAAGUUUUAAAUAAGUGAUAUAACCAAUGUUACUAGACUUGGUUAGCUUCUGAAAAAGAAAAUCAAAGAAGAAAAAGCUUUUCAUAAAGUUAAAAAAUGAAGACUACAUUAAAAAAUACAAACACAAAAUUACUGUAUCUAGGAUAUCUAAAUAUUAAAAAUUGGCUUUUAAAAUAUAUUUUUUAAUUCUUACCCUUUUAAACAAUUUGGACUUGGAAUUCUCAAAUGUAGUGAAACUCUCACUUUACCUUUCCAUACAAUCUCUCUUCCAAGAACUAACUAGCAGCACGAUCACUGAAUAUAAUGCUUUCCUAGAGUGAUGGGCCACAACUGCAUGACACAUCAUUAUAUUUAGGUAGCCCUGGCCUAAGACUAGGGAAAAAAGGGCAAGCAUGCUCAUAAGCAACACUAUUCCACUCACGCAUACAAAGAGACAUUCUUCACCCUUUUAUAUAAAUCUGCCAAGAAUAUCUCCAUGGAGUUACAUGAACCUGGUGUCCAUUUACAGGUCAAUCUUUAACUAUACAUUAGAAAUAAAAUGAUCUAUUAUACUACAAUGAAACAUUUGUCUUUAAUGAGAAAGAUACAUAAUUUAGUACAGAAAUUUAUGAGGUAUAAUAUUUUCAUAAUAAUGUAAAAGCUAAUUGAAUAAAGGCAUAUGAAUAUCUUAAUAUAAUCAUGAAAUUAAUGAUUAUUUAAUUGCUUAAGUCAUUGAUAAAAACAUCAAGUAAAAAAUAAAUGAACCACAGUGUUGUUUAUGUGAAAUCAUCAUAAGAUUGUGUAUCAAUGAUAUGUUAAUUAAUAAAAUAAAUACAUGAACCAAA
Molecule: non-coding RNA, 2823 nt
Organism: Manis javanica (Malayan pangolin)
Lineage: Eukaryota; Metazoa; Chordata; Mammalia; Pholidota; Manidae
Source: RefSeq, a predicted model, not a curated record